CUACGUAGCUCAGAGUUUGAUCCUGGCUCAGGACGAACGCUGGCGGCGUGCUUAACACAUGCAAGUCGAGCGGGGACAAGAGCUUCGGUUCUUGUUCUAGCGGCGGACGGGUGAGUAACGCGUGAACAAUCUGUCCCAGACAGGGGGAUAACACUUGGAAACAGGUGCUAAUACCGCAUAAGACCACGACACCACAUGGUGAUGGGGUAAAAGAUUUAUCGGUCUGGGGUGAGUUCGCGUCCGAUUAGCUAGUUGGUGAGGUAACGGCCCACCAAGGCGACGAUCGGUAGCCGACCUGAGAGGGUGAUCGGCCACAUUGGAACUGAGACACGGUCCAA
RNAcentral lists this ribosomal RNA (338 nucleotides) under uncultured bacterium. RNAcentral describes it as "bacterial SSU rRNA". It matches the Rfam family "Bacterial small subunit ribosomal RNA", at positions 1 to 334 of the family's 1533-position model. The record is from RNAcentral.